Phoenix dactylifera (date palm) is the source of this 981-nucleotide non-coding RNA. NCBI's taxonomy places the organism in Eukaryota, Viridiplantae, Streptophyta, Magnoliopsida, Arecales, Arecaceae. The record is from RefSeq and is a predicted model, not a curated record.
UUAGGAUUGAGAUUUUGAACGUGCAAUGAAUCACUGCAUAGCAUCGAUAGAGAUCCUCAACAAGCUUUAUCAUGCCGAACAUAUUGUCAUCGGCCAUGAGUUGAUGAAGCUUACCUCCAUUCAGCUGUCCUUGGAUGAUCAUGCUGCUGCUCGUAGCAGCAUUAAACGAGCUGAAGCAAUAUUUUCACUUUAUUAUGGAUCUCACGUGACCAAAAUAUUUCCAUAUAUAGAAGCACUUAAGAGAAGGCUGGAAGCCUUGCUUGUUGAGAAGGCCCACUCAAUUUAAGCAUUCAUGCUGGUCGCAUGAGAUUUGAGUCAGUGCAGCAAGACUUUUGUUUUGUUACAUCAGAUCAAGCAAGUGCUUGCAGGUUUGAACGUGUAGGAGUCCCAGGGUGCUCAUCAAGCUGCCAGUGUUGUAGAGCAGGCCUUGCUCACAUGCCUAUACUAAGUGAAGCUGUUUAGGCAUGUAAAAUUGGCAUCACAACUCUUCAAACCUGUAUGCAUGGUCAAAUGUAAAGGAAAAAAUAUCUUUCAUAUCAAAAAAAAGGAAGGGUGGCAUCAUGUUGGAUUUUGUCUACUCAACAAUCGAAGUAGAGCGAGUGCAAUUAAAGAGGUUUAUGGCAAAUAAUCCAGGACCGAGGCUGACUGCGAUACUUGGAGGCACUCGAUUGGGCUCUUACUGAAAGCUGUGCGGUAAAUUAACUGUAUGAUGGCUGAAAGGCUUGGAUUUGCGAGAUGUCAAAAUCUUUUCUAUUAUGGUGAGAAAUGCCUUCAGCGUCUCAACGUUUGACUACUUGAUCUGUACUCCAAAGUCUUGUUGCUACCCGAACAGAUAUUGCUUGUGAGAACUUUUCCGGAUGUCCGAGUUUCUGAUUUAAUUAGUGGACUUGAUGGAAUUUUUAUAUAAUGGCUGUACUUAAUUAGUAACAAACAUGAUUCGAUAUUUUUGCAAUCUCUGCUAUUUUAAGUUGCAUUUUCAUU